AGGUGCAUGGUCUAGUGGUAUGAUUUUCGCUUCGCAUUUCUGUGAAAGGUCCCCGGUUCGAUCCCGGGUGCAUCCA
This 76-nucleotide transfer RNA is filed under the name Thermochaetoides thermophila DSM 1495. RNAcentral's name for it is "Chaetomium thermophilum var. thermophilum DSM 1495 tRNA-Ala". It matches the Rfam family "tRNA". Rfam says of the family: Transfer RNA (tRNA) molecules are approximately 80 nucleotides in length. Their secondary structure includes four short double-helical elements and three loops (D, anti-codon, and T loops). Lineage: Eukaryota; Fungi; Ascomycota; Sordariomycetes; Sordariales; Chaetomiaceae. The record is from RNAcentral.